UGCUGGUUAGCUCAGUCAGUUGAGCAUAGUGCUAACAACGCUAAGGUCGCGGGUUCGAUUCCCGUUUCAUCAU
This 73-nucleotide transfer RNA is filed under the name Apaloderma vittatum (bar-tailed trogon). It matches the Rfam family "tRNA". From Rfam's summary of the family: Transfer RNA (tRNA) molecules are approximately 80 nucleotides in length. Lineage: Eukaryota; Metazoa; Chordata; Aves; Trogoniformes; Trogonidae. The record is from Rfam by way of RNAcentral.